RNAcentral lists this ribosomal RNA (164 nucleotides) under Peltospira operculata. RNAcentral's name for it is "partial 28S ribosomal RNA". It matches the Rfam family "Eukaryotic large subunit ribosomal RNA", at positions 1326 to 1473 of the family's 3401-position model. The record is from RNAcentral. Lineage: Eukaryota; Metazoa; Mollusca; Gastropoda; Neomphalida; Peltospiridae.
CGCUAGAGCGUCGGGCCUAUACCGAACCGUCUGGGCAAUACGAGCACCCCCGGUACCAUGCCCAGACGAGUAGGAGGGUCGCCGUGGUGAGCAUAGAAGCCCGAGGCGUGAGCCUGGGUGGAGCCGCCAUGGGUGCAGAUCUUGGUGGUAGUAGCAAAUAUUCA